GGCGAGUAUUGAUCGGUGUGGAGUGUGCUCACAAUGUGGGUGUGUGCAUGAUGAUGGGAGGUGCUCAAGUCCAAGCUCAGAGGGGUUCACAGUUGCAGAUGCUACGGAUUACACUGUUGGAUAUUUAACCAGUACAGGCAGAUGACAUCUCCUUUAAAGCUUCCUGUGAAUGAUGAGGAUUGUCUCGAGCUUGAGAAAAUAGGGGACCAUGUGUGUGAUGGAAGCACCCCCAAGCCGGUUUUGAGCAGUCCAUCUAAAAAGAUGAUGGGCAGCAAUUCAGUCAGUGGGGUACGCAGACUGAGCACCAUCUCAGAGCAAGAACCAGACAAACUGGACACUGAUCCCAGUUCCCAUGAUGCCCGGGGUGGCAGUGAGUGGCGUGGAUCCAGCUUCUCAUUGUGUUCUGACAAGUUUAUAAACAGCAGCAGUCAUUUUUCCUCUGAUGAUUCAUACCAGCCUGACACUGGAGAUGACUGUGCAGCACUUCUUCUCGCCUGUCUGCACUGCCGUUUUCACGAGUUAAUGGUCCUGCUACCGGAUACAUGCGAGAGGGCUGUGAGACGCUGUUUUCCCUCGUACAAAUACAUCAAGACAUCCAGUGAGAGAGAACAGCAGGGAAAGGAUUGCUGCAAUUACAAGCUGGAACUGGACUGUAACUGCUGCGGCUCCUGUCAAGACGCGGGAGAACUCAUAGAGCUUGCAAUGGAGAUAUCAGAAGUUUGCUAUCGCUGAGAGAUUCCUCCUUGGCCUUUCACCUCUGACCUUUAAACACAAAGAGUUCACUUCAAAGAGAAUCCCAAAGAUUAUCCAUCUUUGAAUGCUCAACAAAUGGCAUGACCGUCUUGUCUUAUUCCCACAUAUGUAAAAAAUUGCCUGCAUUACUGAGAUUUUUUUCAUAUUUGGCCUUGUGGAAAUGUAUCUCCAGCUUGUGUGCCUCAACAUUAUUCAAGCAGGUAACUACUGCCACCCUUUGCCACCAGUUUAUGAUGUUUCAGCCUCCUCAUUUGUUGUUACAGCCACAGAGAGCAAAGUACUCAAAUGCCAAUGAGCAAUCCUGUCAGGGUGGAAGAGGGGAUAGAGUGCAGAGUGGGGGUGGUUAUGUACAGCAUGUUGAACCAUAGCAUCCUUUACGUUCCCAGUGUCACUCCAUAAAGCAUGAUAGAGUAGGCUGAAGACAUUUAGGAGACUGGGAAUAUAGUAACUAAUAUAAGGUGAAAUACCUUUCUAUUUUGGGCUGCAGUCACUUGUGUGAAACAUAGAGCCGUGGAAGACGUAUUCAGAUCCCAUAGUAAAGUAAAGUAGCAUAAAAGUACUCCAUUACAAGUAAAACUCCUCCCCCAUUCAAAUGUUUGGUUGAAACAGUAGUCCACUGAUUUAGCAUUGUACAUGUAUAAUGUCCACGAGGGACAAAAAUAUAUCAACACACGUCUUUUUCAUUCCACAUGUUCAUAUUCCCUCUCAAAAUCUGGCACCUUCAUUACCCACAAUGCAACUCAGCUGGCAACAGUCAGUUAGAGAUUCAGAUGUAUAAUGCUUGUAGCGGCUGAUGUAGGCUUGAGCUGCUAGACUCACGCUGAGAUGAGGAGCAGCUACAAAAAUGACUUACAUUUUCAAAGUGGUAGAAUUCAGCUCAAACCAACGUUGACAUCACUCAAGACCAAGUAUCAAAUUUCACAUAGCUCCCUCUUGAGUCUCAAAAGGCCUUAUACAACUUUUUUUUACAACUUUGAUACAUAAAGUUCCCCUUAAAAUAAAAGUAUGCCAUUGAAGUAUUAUCAGCGAAUACUUUUAAAAUUGAAAAUAGGCUAAUUUUUAUGCUGAAAAGUCACUGUCAGUAUUAUAUUAUUCUAUCAUUUAAUUAUCAUUAUUGAUACAUUAAGCAUUACUUUCAUAUUGUAUUUGGUCAAGGUGGAGCAAAUUCUAACAGCUUAAUGUACUGAUAGGUGGUUUAAUCUGUAAUAAUGCAUUACCUUGAUCAUAAUCUUUGUAUCUAACAUUAACAAUUAGAAAAGUAGCAAUUAACUUUUAAACAGUAAAAUAAAUGUAGUCCAAGAAAAUUUAAAACAUUUCCCCAUACGUAGUCAAGUAUAAAGUAGAACUCAAAUAACGUACCUCAAAGUUUGAUGUGAGUUACAGGCAGCAUUUUAGCAGUUGUCUCUGUCAAUCCCUAAAAAAGUAAACACUGAAUUAAAGCUACAGUAUAGCAUACAGUAUCAGUAUCAGCCUAUUAUCUUCAGCUAUAUGAGAACAAGUCAGAACAAUGAGAAUCAUUCAGUGCAGAAAAAAUUCUGGAUCUCAGAAGUAACAUGUACAACAAGUAACAUUUCUCUGGAGGCAUAUGUGGGGUGAAGAACUAAAUGAAACCACAAACAUUUAGGAGGAUCUAUUGGCAGGAAUGGAAUGUAAUAUUCAUAGGUGUGUUUUCAUCGGUGUAUAAUCACCUGAAAAUAAGAAUUGUGGUGUUUUCGUAAUCCUUUUUACAAAGGGAGCCGGUCCUCUUCUACCGUCCAUCUUCGACAGCCAUGUUUGUACAGUAGCCGACCACAGACAAAUCAAACACUGGCCCCAGAUUGGACCUUUUUCCUUUUUCGCGAGUUUCAUGGCUACUGUAGUUUCUCCUACAUGCUUGGAACUGGAUGUGGUUUUGGCGACAUCUUUGCAUCGCCGGAGAACUACAUAUAUUCAGUUGCCACUUUACUAUGAUGUUAGGUGUUGAGAUGUUAAAUGUGCUUGUCAUUGCAUGAUCACUGAUCAAGAGAAUGAUUUUCCUGAUAGUCAUGCAUGUGGUAGACCAUGAACACCCAAGUGUGUGUAAUUAACCUUACUGCCAACUGUGGAAAGCACAAUUACAUUUACAUUACAUUUUUCUGACCAAUUUCUAUCUUUGGCAGUUCAUGCUAAGAAAAAUGAGUGUGCUUAGACUAGAAUUAGUUGUAGAUGGUGAUUGUGUUGCAAGCAGAAACCAACUUAUGGUGCAUUUAAACCCCUGAUUGAUAAACAAUGUUUGCUAUCUUAUAUUGAAUAUGGAGCAGUAUUUUUUUUACAUGCUAGUAGGCUCAUUUGUGUGAACAAGCUUUGAUCCUUUUUAAAAAUAUGUUUGAGGAGCUCCUUUCUGGAGUUUCACACAAGCACUUGAACACAACAACAACAACAAAAAAACAGUCCCUUAUUGUAAAUUUAUUAAGAAGAUAUCAGAUACCAAAUGUUUAUUGAGAUUAUCAAUGUUACAAAUUUCAGGUUUCAUUAAACUGAUUUUCAUAGUUCUUGGAAACAAAAGCUACAUACAGCUAAUUUCAUCAGCAUAUUUCUGAGAAUUUAUGAGCAUAGAUUUUGAAGUUUGGACAAUUUCAGGUUAUUUGCUCAUUAACAAUGCAAAUAUGACUUCUUGCUAAGGCAUCUACAGUGAUUUUCACAACACCAGGUAUGUAGUAGAAGCUAGCAUCGGUAUUUGCAUAAUGGGAUUGCUAAAGGUCAACUGACAGUUGACAGUUGACUCUUCUCUAGCUACUAAAGACAGACCUGUAAAGUGUCUCUCAACAACCAAAAUCUAGACUGCCCAGCUCCCUCCAAAACCCCCAAUUCUUUCUUGGUUUCUACUAACUUCUGUCUGUUGGCUCUGCCAGGGAUGUUGUAAUGCAAUAUUUAAAGUCUGUCUCCAGUCAGAAAUGUGUUUUGUUUAUUGUUUACUUGGAUGUUUGACCUUCACAGAUGUUUCUGCAGAGUUUGACACAUUAUUCUGCUAACUCUGUAAGCUUGAAUCUGAGAGUGUUCAUACUAGCAUGAUUUUGUGACAUCACAACUACUUGUUACUACAAGCCAAUUGUGGCCCAAUAUGUAAUUUACACAAAUGUGAUGUUGAAACUUGAAACCUCGA
Long non-coding RNA from Dicentrarchus labrax (European seabass), 3874 nucleotides. RefSeq lists it as uncharacterized. The record is from RefSeq and is a predicted model, not a curated record. The transcript has 4 exons. NCBI's taxonomy places the organism in Eukaryota, Metazoa, Chordata, Actinopteri, Moronidae.